GGGGUUGUAGCUCAGCUGGUUUAGAGCGCCUGCCUGUCACGCAGGAGGUCGAGGGUUCGAGCCCCUUCAAUCCCGCCA
Molecule: transfer RNA, 78 nt
Filed under: Rickettsiales bacterium
Lineage: Bacteria; Pseudomonadati; Pseudomonadota; Alphaproteobacteria; Rickettsiales
Description: tRNA-Asp
Rfam family: tRNA
About the family: Transfer RNA (tRNA) molecules are approximately 80 nucleotides in length. Their secondary structure includes four short double-helical elements and three loops (D, anti-codon, and T loops). Further hydrogen bonds mediate the characteristic L-shaped molecular structure. tRNAs have two regions of fundamental functional importance: the anti-codon, which is responsible for specific mRNA codon recognition, and the 3' end, to which the tRNAs corresponding amino acid is attached (by aminoacyl-tRNA synthetases). tRNAs cope with the degeneracy of the genetic code in two manners: having more than one tRNA (with a specific anti-codon) for a particular amino acid; and 'wobble' base-pairing, i.e. permitting non-standard base-pairing at the 3rd anti-codon position.
Source: RNAcentral